This 426-nucleotide ribosomal RNA is filed under the name uncultured bacterium. RNAcentral's name for it is "bacterial SSU rRNA". It matches the Rfam family "Bacterial small subunit ribosomal RNA", at positions 355 to 772 of the family's 1533-position model. The record is from RNAcentral.
UGGGGAAUUGUUCGCAAUGGGCGAAAGCCUGACGACGCAACGCCGCGUGGAGGACGAAGAUCUUCGGGUCGUAAACUCCUUUCGAUCGGGAAGACUGGCUUCCGGGUUAACAGCCCGGAGGAAUGACGGUACCGAGAGAAGAAGCCCCGGCUAACUCUGUGCCAGCAGCCGCGGUAAUACAGGGGGGGCAAGCGUUGUUCGGAAUUACUGGGCGUAAAGGGCGCGUAGGCGGCGAUUUUAGUCAGGCGUGAAAGCCCUGGGCUCAACCUAGGAACUGCGUUUGAUACUGGAUCGCUUGAGUGUGGGAGAGGAUGGUGGAAUUCCCAGUGUAGAGGUGAAAUUCGUAGAUAUUGGGAAGAACACCGGUGGCGAAGGCGGCCAUCUGGACCACUACUGACGCUGAGGCGCGAAAGCGUGGGGAGCAAA